RNAcentral lists this transfer RNA (72 nucleotides) under Camelus bactrianus (Bactrian camel). It matches the Rfam family "tRNA". From Rfam's summary of the family: Transfer RNA (tRNA) molecules are approximately 80 nucleotides in length. Their secondary structure includes four short double-helical elements and three loops (D, anti-codon, and T loops). The record is from Rfam by way of RNAcentral. RNAcentral also lists the same sequence under 2 other names. Lineage: Eukaryota; Metazoa; Chordata; Mammalia; Artiodactyla; Camelidae.
GACGGUAUAGCUCAAGUGGUAGAGUGUGUGCUUAGCAUGCAUGAGACCAGAGUUCGAUCCCCAGUACCUCCU